ACAAGUCAGAAGUGAAAUCAUAGGGCUCAACCCUGUGGCUGUUUCUGAAACUGUUAAGCUUGAGCAUAUAAGAGGUACCUGGAAUUCCUAGUGUAGGAGUGAAAUCCGUAGAUAUUAGGAGGAACACCAAUGGCGUAGGCAGGGUACUGGUAUAUUGCUGACACUGAGGCACGAAAGCGUGGGGAGCGAACGGGAUUAGAUACCCCGGUAGUCCACGCCGUAAACGAUGGAUACUA
Molecule: ribosomal RNA, 236 nt
Filed under: uncultured Candidatus Saccharibacteria bacterium
Lineage: Bacteria; Candidatus Saccharimonadota
Description: partial 16S ribosomal RNA
Rfam family: Bacterial small subunit ribosomal RNA
Source: RNAcentral